This 126-nucleotide microRNA precursor is filed under the name Pelobates cultripes (western spadefoot toad). Lineage: Eukaryota; Metazoa; Chordata; Amphibia; Anura; Pelobatidae. The record is from RNAcentral.
CUAGCUACCAUGCUCCCUCGUGGUUCCCAGAAUUCCCAGCAUCUACACAUCAUAGAGUAAUCCCUACUCUAUGAUGUGUAGAUGCUGGGAAUUCUGGGAACCGCGAGGGAGCAUGGUAUCUACUAG